Molecule: ribosomal RNA, 195 nt
Filed under: Ablennes hians
Lineage: Eukaryota; Metazoa; Chordata; Actinopteri; Beloniformes; Belonidae
Description: partial large subunit ribosomal RNA
Source: RNAcentral
AUGAAGACCUGUAUGAAUGGCAUAACGAGGGCUUAACUGUCUCCUUUUUCCAGUCAAUGAAAUUGAUCUCCCCGUGCAGAAGCGGGGAUAACCCCAUAAGACGAGAAGACCCUAUGGAGCUUUAGACAAUAUGAUGGACCAUGUUAACAAACCUUACUUAACAAGAAUAAACCAAUUGGAACCCACCUUAAUGUC